AUUGAACGCUGGCGGCAGGCCUAACACAUGCAAGUCGAACGGUAACAGGAAGAAGCUUGCUUCUUUGCUGACGAGUGGCGGACGGGUGAGUAAUGUCUGGGAAACUGCCUGAUGGAGGGGGAUAACUACUGGAAACGGUAGCUAAUACCGCAUAACGUCGCAAGACCAAAGAGGGGGACCUUCGGGCCUCUUGCCAUCGGAUGUGCCCAGAUGGGAUUAGCUAGUAGGUGGGGUAACGGCUCACCUAGGCGACGAUCCCUAGCUGGUCUGAGAGGAUGACCAGCCACACUGGAACUGAGACACGGUCCAGACUCCUACGGGAGGCAGCAGUGGGGAAUAUUGCACAAUGGGCGCAAGCCUGAUGCAGCCAUGCCGCGUGUAUGAAGAAGGCCUUCGGGUUGUAAAGUACUUUCAGCGGGGAGGAAGGGAGUAAAGUUAAUACCUUUACUUAUUGACGUUACCCGCAGAAGAAGCACCGGCUAACUCCGUG
This 490-nucleotide ribosomal RNA is filed under the name uncultured bacterium. Its description in RNAcentral is "partial 16S ribosomal RNA". It matches the Rfam family "Bacterial small subunit ribosomal RNA", at positions 30 to 507 of the family's 1533-position model. The record is from RNAcentral.